GAUGAACGCUGGCGGCAUGCCUAAUACAUGCAAGUCGGACGGGCAGUGUUGUUUCUAGUGGCGGACGGGUGAGUAACGCGUAAGCACAUGCGCUAGGGAGGGGAACAACAGCUGGCAAGGACCGCUAAUACACCGUAGGCUGCGGAGCAUAAGGCGGCAUACACCUGAUGAUGGGCUCGAGUCUGAUUAGCUAGUUGGUGUGUCAAUAGCUGACCUGGGCGAGGAUUAGAAGCUGGUCCGAGAGGAUGAACGGCCAGACUGGGACGGAGAGACGGCCCAGAGUCUUAUGGGAGACAGCAGAAGGGAAGAUCCAGCAAUGGGGGAAAGCUUGACGAGGCUAUGCCGCGUGGAGGUAGAAGUGUAAGAGGUCGAGGACUUCGAGUCCCGAAGGUGAAGCAAUGGCGGUUUCUUGACAAGAAACGGAGGCUAAACCUGUG
This 437-nucleotide ribosomal RNA is filed under the name uncultured bacterium. Its description in RNAcentral is "partial 16S ribosomal RNA". It matches the Rfam family "Bacterial small subunit ribosomal RNA", at positions 28 to 507 of the family's 1533-position model. The record is from RNAcentral.